This 2358-nucleotide unclassified non-coding RNA is filed under the name Amphibalanus amphitrite. RNAcentral describes it as "c-terminal-binding protein-like, transcript variant X12". The record is from RNAcentral. Lineage: Eukaryota; Metazoa; Arthropoda; Thecostraca; Balanomorpha; Balanidae.
CAAGGCAGGCGACUAUUCCGGUUGGCUGUCCGAGCAGGGAGGGCGCGUUUCGAGCGAGCUGAGUAGCUUUUCAGUGCUGAACUUCCCCGUGACGAGGAGGCACGUAUCAACGAGACACGCGCACCGCACGUCAUCGCAAGGUUGCGCGAAGGUCAUCUGCUGCUGGUUGGCGUUUUAUUGGACUGAUUGAAGAUCAGCGGCGGGGCGGCGGCGACGACCGGUGGACAUGCUCCAAUCGGGCACCCCUGUCAACAAGCGACCCCGCGUCGACGCGCGCGGUCCCAUCAGCAACGGUCCGAUGCCGCGGCCGCUGGUGGCCCUGCUCGACGGCAGGGACUGCUCGGUGGAAAUGCCCAUCCUCAAGGAUGUGGCCACCGUAGCGUUCUGCGACGCACAGAGCACCUCCGAGAUCCACGAAAAGGUGCUGAACGAGGCCGUCGGCGCCCUGAUGUGGCACGGCAUUAGUCUCACCAAGGACGACCUGGAAAAGUUCCGCGCGCUCAAGAUCAUCGUCCGUGUCGGCAGCGGCGUCGACAACAUCGACACCAAGGCGGCGGCCGAGCUCGGCAUUCACGUGUGUAACGUGCCCGGCUACUCUGUGGAGGAGGUGGCCGACUCGACCAUGUGUAUGAUCCUGAACCUCUACCGGCGGACCUACUGGCUUGCGCGCAUGGUGGCAGAAGACAAAAAGUUCAUGGGCCCAGACGCGAUCCGAGACGCGGCGAACGGUUCAGCGCGGAUCCGGGGCGACACGCUGGGUAUCGUGGGCCUCGGCAAGAUCGGUCAGGCGGUGGCGCUGCGGGCCAAGGCGUUCGGCUUCGCCGUCUACUUCUACGACCCGUACAUCCAGGACGGCAUCGACCGGGCGCUGGGCAUCACGCGCGUCUUCACACUCCAGGAGCUUCUGUACCAGUCAGACUGUGUUACCCUUCACUGCUCACUCAACGAGCACAACCACAGGCUCAUCAACGACUUCACCAUCAAACAGAUGAGGCCAGGCGCGUUCCUGGUGAACACAGCGCGCGGCGGUCUGGUGGAUGAAGAGGCCCUGGCUGCGGCGCUCAAAGAGGGCCGGAUCCGAGCAGCUGCCCUGGACGUGCACACCAACGAGCCCAACAACAUCUUCCUCGGUCCGCUGAAGGAGGUAAAGAACACCAUCAUCGCCACGCCGCACGCCUCGUACUACUCAGAGGCGUCGUUCAGCGAACUGCGAGAGAUGGCAGCCACAGAGAUCCGGCGCUACAUCGUCGGACACAACCUGCGCAACUGUGUCAACAAGGAGUACCUGAAGAUGGCCUCGUACGGCGACGGCCUGAACGGCGCCGGCGCGCCCGGCCUGCCGGCACCCGGCGCUCCCAGCAGCUACUACCCAGCCCAGAUGCAGCGGGGGAUGGGUGUGGCGGCGCACUCGACCUCCGCGCACGACGCCGCGUCGCUGUCCGUACCGUCCUCCCUUCCCCACCACCUCCCCACGGCGCAAGUUCCAGAGCGGCUCUGAGGGGGGUCGCCGCGGCCGCCCGAGCAACACUGCAGCGAGCCACAGUACCUGAGUCAAGGCAGCCGACCAGCACACAAGAGAGCCAUAGCUUAAUAAAGCCAGAGUCGUCGGACAUCCACUGAGCGCGCCCGCAGUGCCACCUGCCGGCGCUCGGACGAACUACACAUCCGCCGUCGCCCGAUGUGAUAGGCGACGUGGUGGGUGCGCCGGGAUCCGUCGGAACCACCGGAGACCGCGGGGAACCACUGGGAACCAGCGGCGCCGCGGCGGCCGCGACGAAUCGCCCCAGCGGCUGGCGCUGACUGGAGCGGGGAGCCGGGGACUGACAGUGCUGGACAUUUCUCCAUCGCACCGACCGGCGCGCCGGGGCCGGGCCGAGUGUACGCGUGCGUGUGUGUGUCUGUGUGCGUGUCUGCGUGCGUGAGAGGGCGGCGGGGGCGCGGCCGCCGCGAGUUGCCGAGCUCGGGAAGCUCCUGUACAAACCGCGCGUAUUUUUGCUGUGUCUGAUGCGUGAGCGAGGAGCGGGCCGCCGCGCGAGCGACGAGGCUCGCCGGCCGCCAGAGAGACGAGACGAGUCGCCACCGGGACGCCCUCAGAGAGCCCAGACGAACCGCCGCCGCCCCAGCCCUGUGUAUAUUACCGUUCAUGGUCAUUUGGUCAUCAUGUAGAUCUUCCAUAAAUAAAGGAGACUUAACGUUGAUCUGUCUGUUGCGGGCGGCGCGGCCGGCCGGCCGGUUGGACGGCUGGGAAUGGUGUCGCCGCCGGUUUGGACUGUGUGCCGUGCCGGCAACGGUCGGCAUUGUGUAAUCUCGCGUCAAUGACCUGGAUCGAGGAAUAAAGCGCGCAGUGGUCGGAUGUUA